This 245-nucleotide ribosomal RNA is filed under the name uncultured Oscillospiraceae bacterium. RNAcentral describes it as "partial 16S ribosomal RNA". It matches the Rfam family "Bacterial small subunit ribosomal RNA", at positions 524 to 768 of the family's 1533-position model. Lineage: Bacteria; Bacillati; Bacillota; Clostridia; Eubacteriales; Oscillospiraceae. The record is from RNAcentral.
UACGUAGGUGGCGAGCGUUGUCCGGAUUUACUGGGUGUAAAGGGCGUGUAGGCGGACUGACAAGUCAGAUGUGAAAUCCCGCGGCUUAACUGCGGGACUGCAUUUGAAACUGUUGGUCUUGAGUACUGGAGAGGAAAGCGGAAUUCCCGGUGUAGCGGUGGAAUGCGUAGAUAUCGGGAGGAAUACCAGUGGCGAAGGCGGCUUUCUGGACAGCAACUGACGCUGAGGCGCGAAAGCGUGGGGAG